CUGCUGCCUUCCGUAGGAGUCUGGGCCGUGUCUCAGUCCCAAUGUGGCCGUCCACCCUCUCAGGCCGGCUACUGAUCUUUGCCUUGGUGUGCUUUUACCACUCCAACUAGCUAAUCAGACGCGGGUCCAUCUCAUACCAGAUUUCUCCUUUUCACACUAAAACAUGCGUUUCCGUGCGCUUAUGCGGUUUUACCACCAGUUUCCCGAUGCUAUCCCCCUGUAUGAGGCAGGUUGCCCACGCGUUACUCACCCGUCCCG
This 258-nucleotide ribosomal RNA is filed under the name uncultured bacterium. RNAcentral's name for it is "partial 16S ribosomal RNA". The record is from RNAcentral.